This 490-nucleotide ribosomal RNA is filed under the name uncultured bacterium. Its description in RNAcentral is "partial 16S ribosomal RNA". It matches the Rfam family "Bacterial small subunit ribosomal RNA", at positions 30 to 507 of the family's 1533-position model. The record is from RNAcentral.
AUUGAACGCUGGCGGCAGGCCUAACACAUGCAAGUCGAACGGUAACAGGAAGAAGCUUGCUUCUUUGCUGACGAGUGGCGGACGGGUGAGUAAUGUCUGGGAAACUGCCUGAUGGAGGGGGAUAACUACUGGAAACGGUAGCUAAUACCGCAUAACGUCGCAAAACCAAAAAGGGGGACCUUCUGGCCCCUUGCCAUAGGAUGUGCCCCGAUGGGAUUCGCUAGUAGGUGGGGUAACGGCUCACCUAGGCGACGAUCCCUAGCUGGUCUGAGAGGAUGAGCAGCCACACUGGAACUGAGACACGGUCCAGACUCCUACGGGAGGCAGCAGUGGGGAAUAUUGCACAAUGGGCGCAAGCCUGAUGCAGCCAUGCCGCGUGUAUGAAGAAGGCCUUCGGGUUGUAAAGUACUUUCAGCGGGGAGGAAGGGAAUAAAGUUAAUACCUUUGCGCAUUGACGUUACCCGCAGAAGAAGCACCGGCUAACUCCGUG